UUUGGACAAUGGUAGGAGAGCGUUCUAAGGGCGUCGAAGCAUGAUCGCAAGGACAUGUGGAGCGCUUAGAAGUGAGAAUGCCGGUGUGAGUAGCGAAAGACGGGUGAGAAUCCCGUCCACCGAUUGACUAAGGUUUCCAGAGGAAGGCUCGUCCGCUCUGGGUUAGUCGGGUCCUAAGCUGAGGCCGACAGGCGUAGGCGAUGGAUAACAGGUUGAUAUUCCUGUACCACCUAGUAUCGUUUUAAUCGAUGGGGGGACGCAGUAGGAUAGGCGAAGCGUGCUGUUGGAGUGCACGUCCAAGCAGUAAGGCUGAGUGUUAGGCAAAUCCGGCACUCAUAAGGCUGAGCUGUGAUGGGGAGAGGAAAUUGUUUCCUCGAGUCGUUGAUUUCACACUGCCGAGAAAAGCCUCUAGAUAGAUAACAGGUGCCCGUACCGCAAACCGACACAGGUAGUCAAGAUGAGAAUUCUAAGGUGAGCGAGCGAACUCUCGUUAAGGAACUCGGCAAAAUGACCCCGUAACUUCGGGAGAAGGGGUGCUCUUUAGGGUUCACGCCCAGAAGAGCCGCAGUGAAUAGGCCCAAGCGACUGUUUAUCAAAAACACAGGUCUCUGCUAAACCGUAAGGUGAUGUAUAGGGGCUGACGCCUGCCCGGUGCUGGAAGGUUAAGAGGAGUGGUUAGCUUCUGCGAAGCUACGAAUCGAAGCCCCAGUAAACGGCGGCCGUAACGAUAACGGUCCUAAGGUAGCGAAAUUCCUUGUCGGGUAAGUUCCGACCUGCACGAA
RNAcentral lists this ribosomal RNA (782 nucleotides) under Shigella flexneri. RNAcentral describes it as "partial 23S ribosomal RNA". It matches the Rfam family "Bacterial large subunit ribosomal RNA", at positions 1217 to 1996 of the family's 2925-position model. Lineage: Bacteria; Pseudomonadati; Pseudomonadota; Gammaproteobacteria; Enterobacterales; Enterobacteriaceae. The record is from RNAcentral.